This 326-nucleotide long non-coding RNA is filed under the name Pan troglodytes (chimpanzee). RNAcentral's name for it is "long non-coding RNA NONPTRT013506". The record is from RNAcentral. Lineage: Eukaryota; Metazoa; Chordata; Mammalia; Primates; Hominidae.
GACUGGGCUGAGUUUGUGGCGCGCUUAGUGAUGGGAGGGCGCUGUGCAGGACGCCGACACGAAAAGAUGAAGAGUUCAAUCCGUGCUGUCUGAACUCACAGUGUAGCGGGCGAGAUAGACGGGAAGAUCGGUAGGGUGGGAGAUGCCGGAAAGGCUUCCCGUGAAACUGGAUAAGAAAUCAAAAAUCUGGUGAAAUUGCCGGCAGGAGGGAGUUAAGGACAUUCCAGGCAGAGGCAAGGCUGUAGACAUCACAGGAUAGACAGAAAAUAACAAGAUUCAAGGUAACAAUCUGCAUGCUGAAGGAAGAAUUCUGCUUUCAGACUAUG